UACGGAGGAUGCGAGCGUUAUCCGGAUUUAUUGGGUUUAAAGGGUGCGUAGGCUGUUUGAUCAGUCAGGGGUGAAAUAUCCGGGCUCAACCUGGAGACUGCCCUUGAUACUGUCAAGCUGGGGUGCGGAUGCCGUUGGAGGAAUGAGUGGUGUAGCGGUGAAAUGCAUAGAUAUCACUCAGAACACCGAUUGCGAAGGCAUCUGACGAAUCCGCCACUGACGCUGAGGCACGAAAGCGUGGGGAUAGAAC
RNAcentral lists this ribosomal RNA (250 nucleotides) under uncultured prokaryote. RNAcentral describes it as "partial 16S ribosomal RNA". It matches the Rfam family "Bacterial small subunit ribosomal RNA", at positions 524 to 773 of the family's 1533-position model. The record is from RNAcentral.